CGUACACUCCUACGGGAGGCAGCAGUGGGGAAUAUUGGACAAUGGGCGCAAGCCUGAUCCAGCCAUGACGCGUGAGUGAUGAAGGCCCUAGGGUUGUAAAGCUCUUUCACCGGUGAAGAUAAUGACGGUAACCGGAGAAGAAGCCCCGGCUAACUUCGUGCCAGCAGCCGCGGUAAUACGAAGGGGGCUAGCGUUGUUCGGAUUUACUGGGCGUAAAGCGCACGUAGGCGGACUAUUAAGUCAGGGGUGAAAUCCCGGGGCUCAACCCCGGAACUGCCUUUGAUACUGGUAGUCUUGAGUUCGAGAGAGGUGAGUGGAAUUCCGAGUGUAGAGGUGAAAUUCGUAGAUAUUCGGAGGAACACCAGUGGCGAAGGCGGCUCACUGGCUCGAUACUGACGCUGAGGUGCGAAAGCGUGGGGAGCAAACAGGAUUAGAAACCCGAGUAGUCCCA
RNAcentral lists this ribosomal RNA (451 nucleotides) under uncultured organism. RNAcentral's name for it is "partial 16S ribosomal RNA". It matches the Rfam family "Bacterial small subunit ribosomal RNA", at positions 330 to 797 of the family's 1533-position model. The record is from RNAcentral.